CUUCAUCUCUAAUUGCUUCAUUUAGCAUCUAGUGCAAUGGUUUAGGAGCACGUGUGCCCUCCACAGCGAUCGGUUGUGCCCUGGAUAACUGUGUGGCUCUUGCCCUGGCUAUGGAAGGUUGGUCUAUUCCGGGGUUGGGCAGUUUUGAAUCUCAGCCCUCUUCUUUGACCCACUGUGCUCUUCUCACUUGUUGGAAAGCAUAUUUUUAAUAUCUCUGCCUUCCUGGGUGUCAAGAGGGGCCAGUCCAUGCCUUCCUCAGAGACAAGCUAUUACAUCUCCCAGCAAACCUUUAUGGCAGAGGCCACACAUUCUCACCUGAGCCAGGUACUCUUGGUAGUGGUUGCAGAGGGAAAAGGACAUGGUGGAGCUCCGAGAGCCUCUGCUUGGAAGUGAUGUCUAUCGUGUCUGCCUACAUUUCAUUGGCCAAAGCAAGUCACAUGGUCGCUCAGGAGUUGAACAGAGCUGGGUCAAACGUGGAUUCUGCCUUCUCUUCUGAGGCCCACCCCUCCUUCACAGAGUUUGCCUGAACCUCGGCCACAUUUCAGUCCGGUAUGAUUAUCAGAACCGCUGAGUCUCAAGUUUGCAGCUUGCUCCGUUCAUUUCUGUCAUCCCAUUGGUGAGAAGAAGUGUCUGCAGUCAUCCUUCAUAUUGGGAGGGAUGAGCUGAAGGAGGCAGGGAGAUGUCUCCUAAGGAGGAGUCUUUCCCAGCUAUCAUGGCUUCCAAACCUGCUUAUCUGGUUCCUCUGGCAACACGUUCUACAGAAGCUGUAAUGUAUAAAUAUGGGGACUCCCCCUUUCUCUCUCACAAAUAAAACAAUUUCUGGAAGGAAAACA
Bos indicus x Bos taurus (hybrid cattle) is the source of this 833-nucleotide long non-coding RNA. The record is from Ensembl. NCBI's taxonomy places the organism in Eukaryota, Metazoa, Chordata, Mammalia, Artiodactyla, Bovidae.